This 461-nucleotide ribosomal RNA is filed under the name uncultured bacterium. RNAcentral's name for it is "partial 16S ribosomal RNA". It matches the Rfam family "Bacterial small subunit ribosomal RNA", at positions 28 to 507 of the family's 1533-position model. The record is from RNAcentral.
GAUGAACGCUGGCGGCGUGCUUAACACAUGCAAGUCGAACGGAAAGGCCCAAGCUUGCUUGGGUCCUCGAGUGGCGAACGGGUGAGUAACACGUGGGUGAUCUGCCCUGCACUUCGGGAUAAGCCUGGGAAACUGGGUCUAAUACCGGAUAGGACGAUGGUUUGGAUGCCAUUGUGGAAAGUGUUUUCGGUGUGGGAUGAGCCCGCGGCCUAUUAGCUGGUGGGUGGGGUAAUGGCGUACCAAGGCGUCGACGGGUAGCUGGCCUGAGAGGGCGAUCGGCCGCAUUGGGUCUGACACACGCCCCAACGGCAUGCGGGAGGGAGGAGUAUGGAACAUUGGGCGAUGGGCGGAAGCCUGAUCCAGGCGUGCCGGGUGACUGAUGAAGGGUUGUGGGUUGCUAUGCCCAGUUACCAGGGAUGUUUGUGACGGUACCUGGAGAAGAAGCACCGGCUAACUACGUG